GAGCCCUUGGUCGUGUUGCCCGCCUUCUUCCUGUGGGUCUUGCUGGAUGCUCAUUGUCCCUGUGAGCCGAGGCCCUGGAGGCUUCAGAUUUAGGUGAUGUUGCCACGUAUGACUGUCCAUCAGCCAGGAGAUGAAC
This 136-nucleotide long non-coding RNA is filed under the name Bos indicus x Bos taurus (hybrid cattle). RNAcentral describes it as "lncRNA (ENSBIXG00000029509.1)". Lineage: Eukaryota; Metazoa; Chordata; Mammalia; Artiodactyla; Bovidae. The record is from RNAcentral.